Molecule: small nucleolar RNA, 129 nt
Filed under: Loxodonta africana (African savanna elephant)
Lineage: Eukaryota; Metazoa; Chordata; Mammalia; Proboscidea; Elephantidae
Description: Small nucleolar RNA SNORA63 (ENSLAFG00000024103.1)
Source: RNAcentral
ACGCAGGUACUGUUAAAGUAUAACUGAAGUGUUUAUUGUCCUUUCCCCUGCUUAAAGCAACUGAUGUAUAACUAUAACUGUCUCUAGCUCAGUCACAUAGUAAGAUUGGAGAUGCUUGGUCUCAAACAU